This 1305-nucleotide long non-coding RNA is filed under the name Zonotrichia albicollis (white-throated sparrow). RNAcentral's name for it is "lncRNA (ENSZALG00000002802.1)". The record is from RNAcentral. Lineage: Eukaryota; Metazoa; Chordata; Aves; Passeriformes; Passerellidae.
AUGGGAUACCGGAGUCCCCCAUACCCAAAUCCCAAAUAUCCCCAAAACCCCAAAAAUUCCCAAAUUUCCCACGGAACACCCGAGUCCCCCAUUCUCAAAAACCCCAAAAUUCCCGAAUUUCCUGAAUUUCCCAUGGGAUACCCGAGUCCCCCAUUCCCAAAAAUACCAAAAUUCCCAAAAACUCCAAAAUUCCCAUGGAAUACCAGAGUCCCUCAUUCCCAAAUGCCAAAUAUCCCAAAAUUCCCAAACUUCCCAUGGAAUACCAGAGUCCCCCAUUCCCAAAAACCCCAAAAAUUCCCCAAAUUCCCAAAUUUGCCAUGGAAUACCCGAGUCCUCCCGUUCCCAAAAACCCCAAAAUUCCCAAAUUUCCCAUGGGAUAGCCGAGUCUCCAAUUCCCAAAUAUCCCAAAAAUUCCCAAAAUUCCCNAGGGUUGGGGACACUGGGCUGAAUUCCCAAAUCCCGGGACUGGAUCCAAAAUCCGGGGCUGGAUCCCAAAUCCUGGGGCCAGAUCCCAAUUCCGGGGCUGGAUCCCAAAUCCUGGGGCCGGAUCCCAAUUCUGGGGCUGGAUCCCAAUCCUGGGGCUGGAUCCCAAAUCCCGGGGCUGGAUCCCAACUCCCGUGCCCAGAUUCCAACUCCCAGCCCUGGAUCCCAAUUCCCAGCCCGGGAUCCCAACUCCCAUGCCCAGAUCCCAAUUCCCAGCCCUGGACCCAAUUUCUCACCCAGAUCCCCAUUCCCGUGCCCGGAUCCCAAUUCCCAACUCUUGAUCCCAACACCUGGAUCCCCAUUCCCAUGUCCAGAUCCCAAUUCCCAUCCCCAGAUCCCAAUUCCCGUGCCCAGAUCCCAACUCCUGUGCCUGGAUCCCAAUUCCAGGGGCUGGAUCCAAACUCCCAGCCCUGGAUCCCAGUUCCUGGCCCUGAUCCCAGUUCCCAUGCCUGGAUCCCCAAUUCCCGUGCCCAGAUCCCAACUCCUGGGCCCAGAUCCCAAUUCUUGGGCCUGGAUCCCAAUUCCCAGCUCCAGAUCCCAAUUCCAAGUUCCAGAUCCCAACUCCCAGCUCUGGAUUCCAACUCCCAUGCCCAGAUUCCAAUUCCCAUUCCUGGAUCCCAAUUCCCAUCCCCAGAUCCCAAUUCCCAUGCCCAGAUCCCAACUCCCAUGUCCAGAUCCCCAUUCCCAUUCCCGGAUCCCCAUUCCCAUUCCUGGAUCCCAAUUCCCAUGCCCAGAUCCCCAUUCCCGGAUCCCGGUUCCGUCGCUCCCCAAAAACCGGAGCAGGCGUUGGAGCCGUGGUUUAUCGAGAGAGAUCUGAUCUGA